Non-coding RNA from Pelobates cultripes (western spadefoot toad), 374 nucleotides. Lineage: Eukaryota; Metazoa; Chordata; Amphibia; Anura; Pelobatidae. The record is from the annotation of a GenBank genome assembly.
GUAGGAAGACCCUUGUCUAAGUCCACCGAUUCCACUUCGUAAUGCCCGUUGGGCUAUACCCCGUUUAUCUGUCUGUACACAUCAUCUGUCAGUUAUCAGUUGUGAGGCCCCGUGUGUACUGUUCAAUAAGAGUGUUUUGUAAAGUGCUCUGCUAAGACCCCUGUAUUGUGAGCCAGCUGGCCCAAUCAUUGUCAUAUUUCUCUAUGCAUCCGUUUGUUUUGCUUGCCAUCCUCUCGUAUGCGCUUAUUCUGUCCAUUUUGGAAUGUAUACUAUCUAUCGGAGGGAUCUGUUUGUUUUUACAGUUGCCAGCCAGGACUGUUUUGGCUAUCGCUUUGCUGAGUCCAUACACACACACACAGACUGCUGAGUUCAUA